This 86-nucleotide transfer RNA is filed under the name Plantactinospora endophytica. Its description in RNAcentral is "tRNA-Ala". Lineage: Bacteria; Bacillati; Actinomycetota; Actinomycetes; Micromonosporales; Micromonosporaceae. The record is from RNAcentral.
GACCACGAGUUGGUCGGUGACCGGGCUGGCCUGGCAGGUCAGCACGUACCCGGCGGCCACCUCGUCCGGCUCCAGGGCGUAGUUGC